UAGUGUAUCAGUUAAUGAGUGUUGUAUUAAGUGUAUGUUUACCUGUUAUAGGACCAAGAUUAGCAUUACUGGUACUGACUUCCAUAUCAUCAUUAGUACUUCUUCCAGCUGUAGGACGAUCUGUCACUUUGUCUUCAAUAGUUCUAGCUAGUUCAUUCUCUUUACAUUGUUUCAAAGCAUUAAUGACAUCUCUCCAUGAUGCUGUAGGAUAAACUUGUAACCAUCUCUUAUGUAAAGCCAUUUUCAUGAGGAAGAAAAAGAGCAAAUGUUUUCCAGUCAACAAGUGGUUUAAGACACUUUGCAAAUAAGAGACAA
Molecule: long non-coding RNA, 315 nt
Organism: Amphimedon queenslandica
Lineage: Eukaryota; Metazoa; Porifera; Demospongiae; Haplosclerida; Niphatidae
Exons: 2
Source: RefSeq, a predicted model, not a curated record